Trichonephila clavipes is the source of this 72-nucleotide non-coding RNA. The record is from the annotation of a GenBank genome assembly. Lineage: Eukaryota; Metazoa; Arthropoda; Arachnida; Araneae; Nephilidae.
GUCCCUGUAGACAAUGGAUAGCGCGUUGGACUUCUAAUCCAAUGGUCGUGGGUUCGAAUCCCUCCUGGGAUG